UACGGAGGGUGCGAGCGUUGUUCGGAAUCACUGGGCGUAAAGGGCGUGUAGGCGGUCCGCUAAGUCUGAUGUGAAAGCCCGGGGCUCACCCCCGGAAGGGCAUUGGAAACUGACGGACUCGAGUCCCGAAGAGGAGGGUGGAAUUCCUGGUGUAGCGGUGAAAUGCGUAGAUAUCAGGAGGAACACCGGUGGCGAAGGCGGCCCUCUGGACGGUGACUGACGCUGAGACGCGAAAGCGUGGGAAGCAAACAGG
RNAcentral lists this ribosomal RNA (253 nucleotides) under uncultured bacterium. Its description in RNAcentral is "partial 16S ribosomal RNA". It matches the Rfam family "Bacterial small subunit ribosomal RNA", at positions 524 to 776 of the family's 1533-position model. The record is from RNAcentral.